UGGGGAAUAUUGGACAAUGGGCGCAAGCCUGAUCCAGCCAUGCCGCGUGAGUGAUGAAGGCCUUAGGGUUGUAAAGCUCUUUCGCCGGUGAAGAUAAUGACGGUAACCGGAGAAGAAGCCCCGGCUAACUUCGUGCCAGCAGCCGCGGUAAUACGAAGGGGGCUAGCGUUGCUCGGAAUCACUGGGCGUAAAGCGCACGUAGGCGGAUCGUUAAGUCAGGGGUGAAAUCCUGGAGCUCAACUCCAGAACUGCCCUUGAUACUGGCGAUCUCGAGUUCGAGAGAGGUUGGUGGAACUCCGAGUGUAGAGGUGAAAUUCGUAGAUAUUCGGAAGAACACCAGUGGCGAAGGCGGCCAACUGGCUCGAUACUGACGCUGAGGUGCGAAAGCGUGGGGAGCAAACAGGAUUAGAUACCCCCGGUAGUCCACGCCGUAAACGAUGGAUGCUAGCCGUUGGGGGGUUUGACCUCUCAGUGGCGCAGCUAACGCCUUAAGCAUCCCGCCUGGGGAGUACGGUCGCAAGAUUAAAACUCAAAUGAAUUGACGGGGUCAUAGCUGUUUCCU
This 562-nucleotide ribosomal RNA is filed under the name uncultured bacterium. Its description in RNAcentral is "partial 16S ribosomal RNA". It matches the Rfam family "Bacterial small subunit ribosomal RNA", at positions 355 to 1375 of the family's 1533-position model. The record is from RNAcentral.